Molecule: transfer RNA, 106 nt
Filed under: Nanobdellota archaeon
Lineage: Archaea; Nanobdellati; Nanobdellota
Description: tRNA-Ile
Rfam family: tRNA
About the family: Transfer RNA (tRNA) molecules are approximately 80 nucleotides in length.
Source: RNAcentral
GGCCCCGUGGCUUAGCCUGGUACUUGUUAGAAUAGCUAACUUGCUUGGGCAAUAGAGCGCACGACUGAUAAUCGUGAGGUCCCGAGUUCAAAUCUCGGCGGGGCCA